Leopardus geoffroyi (Geoffroy's cat) is the source of this 3307-nucleotide long non-coding RNA. RefSeq lists it as uncharacterized. The record is from RefSeq and is a predicted model, not a curated record. Lineage: Eukaryota; Metazoa; Chordata; Mammalia; Carnivora; Felidae. The transcript has 2 exons.
UGUGUUGGCCUCUGCUGUUCCCGAAUAAAGCCAGUCUUGCUGGGGAAAUAACUGGCAGUUUUGUUUUUGAAGUUAACGCCCAGGCGGGGCAGCUCGGGAGUGCGUGAGAAGGGGCUGGGCUGAGGUCCUCCCAGUUCUGGCCAAGGGGACCUGAAGGACACCUGCUGGUGGGGGCAGGUGGUGUCCGCGGAAGUCUUCUUCACCCAGGGAAGGCGGCCGGUAGGAGGCGGUCCAAGCUCUUGCCCCGGCUGGGUGAUUUCGUGAUGCCUUCCCAGAGGAGCUGCUGCAAAGGCCUGCCCUGUGACCGGAUGCGCUCCGCACCCCUGCAGCCUUGUGACCUCCGACCCCUGUGGGCGAGGCACCUGCACUGAAGCCACUUCGGGCAGAGAUUCCGUCACAGGAAGCCGAAGUCACCCUCGCGGGUCCGUUUCGGAACAACCUAAAUAUCUCACCCGAGUAUGUCCCGUGCCUCCCCUCCCGUGGGGCCACGCACCCGUCCCACGGGGACCGGUUUUUGGCUUCCGCGGCCGCUGUGUUCCUGUGACUCCGGGCUGGGAAGAAGGGCCUCGUGGGAUUUCUGAAGGGGUCGAGAGGUGAUGCAGCAGCGCCUUGGCCGAUGUGGAGGCCACAUGUGAUGGCCGGAUCCCUCCGCGGCACCUCCGGGAUGGAAACCUCCGGAAGGCCAGGGAGCAGAAAGGGGGACACAAAGCCCUAAUCUUGUGGAGAAUCCGGGCUUGUUUACAUGAGAGAAUUUCAUUUUCCUUUUUCCCAGUCCCUAGGGUGGCAUUUUGUUCGUAGCGGAUUCACCGAUCCCCACCUGAUCGGGGGACACGCCGGCUGCACAGCUGCCCUGGGAAGGGGUCCCGGACACUUGUACCCCCCGCCCCCCACAGCUGCCGACCUAGGAGUGGGGCCCCUCACCUGCCCACGCUGACCCCUUCUCCGGCUCCCUCCGCGUCGACUGCGCAGACUCCCCAGUUCCCGGAGCUGGUCAGUGUCCUCGGGUCCCGGGGCCUCUGCCCGUGCCCCUCGGUCCCGGAGUGUCGGCUGCCGGGCGUCGCUUCCUCCGGGGUGCCCUCCCGCCCGCUAGCCGAGACCCCCUGACUUCACUGUCCCCCACGGUUGCCGUCGCGUCUGGGCCCGGUCGCCCUUCCCCAUGACGCUGAGCUGCCCGAAGCGAGCGGCCGCGUUCGUUCUCCCGCCACCGGCAGCGCCGAGCAGAGGCCCUUUCCGCCGUGUGAUCUCAGGCGGGCGCCGCGGCCACCACCAAAGCGGGGGAGACGGGACACCCUCCUGAAGAGCACGGAGAACGCUCGGGCCCCUGCCGGCGCGUGGCCUCCUCAUUGUCACAGCCCCGAGGCGGGUACACCAGUAACACCGGACUCUCUCCGCCUCUGUCCUCGCCGGCGGCUGGAGGACGUUCUCCCGCUUGGGACGUUCUCGGAGGUGGCGGGUGACAGAGCUUGCGGGUGGUGCCCCAGCCCGUCCGGUGUCCAGCGGGGGCUCGGGUCGCGCCCCCCUGGCCGCCCCCCUCCCUGGCCGCCGGCUGGAGAAGCCCUUCCCCUCCGGAGAGGAACGGGUGGGGGUCCUGUGUGGCUGGAGCCCACGGGUGAGGUUGUCCGGAAGGCCGCAGGGGGAGGGGCGGUGGUCAGGGUGGCUCGUGGACGGACUGUGGGCACAGUCUGAGAUGUACCUCAGGGGUCUGAGCCCGGCCCCAGAGGUCUUUUCCACAGCAAGGGGGACGGACGUCAGGGGUUGGUAGGUGGUUCCCAGAUGCUGCUGGUGUGGGUAGACCCCGAGAGAGAGACGGGGUCCCUGGGAAGACUGGAGGUGCAGAGCGGGAGCCCUGGGGCACAGCCCGACUGACCAGAAGGCAGAAGAGGGGCCGCCUGGGCCCGGCCAUGUGAGGGUGUAGGCGGGGUUCUCCUCGGCAUUACAGGCCUUCCUGUGUCUGGCCCGGAGGACGCCUGCUGCUGUUUGGGACCCCGCAGCCCUCCCAGCCGUGCACACUCCGGUGCGUCACUGCCCUGUUCAGACGCCCCUCGGGGCCUCGCACGGUGACGAGAACACGUUUUCUCACGGGGGCCACUCCCUGGCCUCGAGCACCCGGCUGGUGAGCCAGGCGUGGGGACCCCCAGCACCGGGCUCUGGGGCCCGUGCCCCACAGCCUCCCGGGAGUUCUGCGCGGGGCACUCAAGGAAUGGGUGCGGAUGUGCUGCCAGAAAUGCCCGGUAAUCAUCCGGAGAAGAAGGUGGGAAAUUGUCUGAGCAAACCUUGGAGCUGGGGGCGGGAGCAGAAAUGGGAGAUGACCUGUUUCUAAGGACCUCACGGUGGCAUGGGGACACCCAGAGGACAGAACGCUCCGAGGAUGCCGUCUGGACACAGGCUCAGGUGAGGGAGGCUGUGUCAUCUGCUGACGUCAUCUGCUGGCUGUGCCCCGCCCCUCCCCCUCGCGUUGACAAGGUGAAGGAAGGACCCUCCGCCUGAAGAAAGGGGGUGGGAACAGGUCCCACCCACACGGUGCCACAGCCCCGGCCUUCCUCUUCCUCUGCUGGUGCCAGGCCCCAUGUUCCUGUGAUCCGGGGCCCUUCCCCUGUCGCUGCGUCCCUUCCAGCACCUUCCCUUCGUGUCUCUCCGGGUGGCGGUCACCGCCUGGCGCUGCUCGGUAGUCGGUUUGGCUCCUUUGUCUGUGCCCCUGGCUGGUCAGGUCGGGGAGCAGGGCUUUGCCCGCCCUGUUCACGGCUACGUGUUCAACGCCUGGAGCCGUCCAUACGAUGGAUGCCAAAAAGUAAUUUCUAAUGAAUGAAUUGUCGCUUCACGUUCAGCCUAAGAAGCUGCUGGAGACCGGAGUUUCAGGGCCCGCAAAUGAACGCCGAUCCCGCCGGCCACAGGCUUCCCACCGAUGCUGGCCGCGGCGUGAGAGCGGUGUUCCCACGUGCUGGGGGCCGGACCGCUGUGGCCGGCCACGUGGCCAUCCAGGGGACACCUGGUCCCCGCACGCACGGAUCCUGGCAGAUUAUCCACAUGCUGUCUGAAAGGUCGAGAAAGGGGCAGUCGGACAGAAGGAAACCGAAUCCGGGCCCAUGAAGCCGUGCGUGCCAAGGAAAAGUGAGAAUUUCCAGCAAGAAGAGGAGGGGAGACCAUAGCCCCGCACAUACCUUCAUUUAGACUUCCAGCCUCCACACGAGUGAGGACCCAUUCUGUUGCUUCGAGCCAUCUAGUCUGUGGUAGUUUGUUUACAGUGGCCUUAGUAAACAAAUACACGUAUAAUCCUAAUUUAAAAUAAAAAAAAAUAGUGUGCACUAGA